This 333-nucleotide ribosomal RNA is filed under the name Triticum aestivum (bread wheat). Its description in RNAcentral is "partial small subunit ribosomal RNA". Lineage: Eukaryota; Viridiplantae; Streptophyta; Magnoliopsida; Poales; Poaceae. The record is from RNAcentral.
AUGGUGGCGUCGCUCGACGAGGCGAGCGAGAGUGACAGGCUGGCGUCAUGGGCGGGUAACCCGAGCUUCGCGUGCACGUCGUCGCCGCCCCUGGCGCUGGUGGUGACCGGGAACUCGCCGCGGUUCGACGUGUACGGGAACGACUUCGGGUGGGGCCGGCCGGUGGCCGUGCGGCGCAGCUCGGCGAACAAGACGGACGGGACGGCGACGGUGUUCGAAGGUAGGGGCGGCGGUGGGAGCAUGGCCCUGGAGGAGUGCCUCGCCCCGGAGGUGCUCGCGAGGCUCGUCGCCGACGACGAGUUCAUGAGCGCGGUGAGCACGGCCACAGCGUGA